This 187-nucleotide small RNA is filed under the name Borreliella garinii. RNAcentral describes it as "5S-23S ribosomal RNA intergenic spacer". Lineage: Bacteria; Pseudomonadati; Spirochaetota; Spirochaetia; Spirochaetales; Borreliaceae. The record is from RNAcentral.
GGGUUUUUAUUUUAUACUUUAAACAUUGAUUUUAUUUUUUAUGUUUUUAGAUAUUUAUGUUUUUGAAUGUUUUAUUCAAAUAAUAUAAAAAAUAAAAUAUAUAUUGACAUGGAUUAAACAAAGAUAUAUAUUAUUCUAUGUUGUAUAAACAAAUUGGCAAAAUAGAGAUGGAAGAUAAAAAUAUGGU